RNAcentral lists this ribosomal RNA (635 nucleotides) under uncultured bacterium. Its description in RNAcentral is "bacterial SSU rRNA". The stretch from base 1 to 544 matches the Rfam family "Bacterial small subunit ribosomal RNA", at positions 338 to 873 of the family's 1533-position model. The record is from RNAcentral.
CCUACGGGAGGCAGCAGUGGGGAAUUUUGGACAAUGGGCGCAAGCCUGAUCCAGCAAUGCCGCGUGCAGGAUGAAGGCCUUCGGGUUGUAAACUGCUUUUGUACGGAGCGAAACGGUCUACUCUAAUACAGUGGGCUAAUGACGGUACCGUAAGAAUAAGCACCGGCUAACUACGUGCCAGCAGCCGCGGUAAUACGUAGGGUGCGAGCGUUAAUCGGAAUUACUGGGCGUAAAGCGUGCGCAGGCGGUUAUAUAAGACAGAUGUGAAAUCCCCGGGCUCAACCUGGGACCUGCAUUUGUGACUGUAUAGCUAGAGUGCGGCAGAGGGGGAUGGAAUUCCGCGUGUAGCAGUGAAAUGCGUAGAUAUGCGGAGGAACACCGAUGGCGAAGGCAAUCCCCUGGGCCUGCACUGACGCUCAUGCACGAAAGCGUGGGGAGCAAACAGGAUUAGAUACCCUGGUAGUCCACGCCCUAAACGAUGUCAACUGGUUGUUGGGUCUUCACUGACUCAGUAACGAAAGCUAAACGCGUGAAGUUGACCGCCUUGGGGGUAGGUUACGGCCGGCGAGGUUAGAACGACGAAGGAAGUUAGAGGCGNGAGACGNGCCGACGGACGACGACGAGGGAGGUAGGAG